This 14480-nucleotide long non-coding RNA is filed under the name Phoenix dactylifera (date palm). RNAcentral's name for it is "long non-coding RNA (PDAC_LNC003829)". The record is from RNAcentral. Lineage: Eukaryota; Viridiplantae; Streptophyta; Magnoliopsida; Arecales; Arecaceae.
AUUAUUUGAGAAAUGAUUUAUUUCUCAAUCAAUAUUUUGUACUUUUAACUAAUUUUUUGGUAUGCUUUGACCCUACUUUGGAAGGUUAUAUUGUUUAUUGGGCUAGUAUAGUUCAUUAUUAUGUUUUCUCUAUUUUUCAUAUCUAAAUACAUGAUUGUAUUUUUCAUAUCUAAUAUAUGAUUGCUCCGAACUUGGGGAGUAUACUAGCUUUUUUGAAGAUACUUUUAGUUAUUUGAAUUUUAGUCGUACUAGUUAAAAUAUUUUAAUUAAUUUAUAUUAAUAAUUAACAGAUGUUGAUCUAUGGCAUUUUGGAACUAUUAUAAGGGACAUUUGAAUAAAUUCUUAAAUAAAUAAAUUUUUAGAAAUUAUUGUUGCUUGAUAUAAUCUGUAGUCUUGCAUAUUUGUUUGGUCUGCUAUACAAAUAUGUGGUGUUUGUUAUGUUCUGGUUCAGGGCGUGACCGGGUCAGAGACCCUUCAAGUUGGUUCCAACAUGCACUAUCACGGAAUGGCUGCAAUCAGUGCAGAGGACAAAAGGAGAAAAAUAAUUAAUGACGAACGAUUCAUGCUUUCAUUUAUUUGAGCAAUUCUGAAUAUAAGAAAACCAGUUAAACAACCAUAAGAGACGUUACUUGAGGAGCACAAAAUUUCCCUUACGGGCAGCCGCCACAUAGGCACGAACACAUCACCCUUAGCUUGAUUGGCCUCAAGUUUGUUCCAUGCGAGUGAAUUGACACUUUUAGUUGUCUUGUCCGCGACUAUGGCCUUCAUAAUUCCUCCUUGUUUUAAAUAAGAAUGAUCAAGCCAGCUCGCUUAACUUCUUCCAAAGGGUCCCAAAUGAAGCAACAACGUCAAACCAAUGCAGUGUAUCCUCAUCAACCUAAAUCAUCUCUCUAAAUCCUUCGCAUCAACCCAAGCCACUCUCUUUAUCGGUGCCUUACAAUAAUUGUGGCGUUGAUGCUUGAAAGUAGCUCCAAAAUGCAUCCAUCAUAUGCUUGCAAUCUUAAAUUCCACCCUCAAUUAUCCACCGAAUCAAAGAUAAUACAAAAAGAAAACCAAAAAAAAUCAGGACAACAUUAACAAAAAAAUGUAUAUAAUUUCUAGAAACAACUAUGUUCACCUAGAUUUCAUCCAUGGUCCCAUUCCUCUCUCAAAUAAUUCGCAUCUUCUUGUCCUCUUCUCAUUCCCUCUCCUUUUUUUUUCUCAUCUCUUACACCAACUAACAACAAACAUGAAAUGGCAACCAAAUAGGCACCAAAAGAACACCACCAAUGAACACUUGUACAAGAGCAGACCCACCCCAUCGACAUCCUACGGGCCUUUUUUCAACCACGUUGAAGCCCGAGAAGAAGAAACCAAUCAUCUCCUCCUCCUUGUCUCGUGCCCGUCCGGGCAUCCGGGCCAUGCUGUGUCCUUUGGUCUCUAGUGCUAAAAGGGUUUUCACCACGGCGUGGACCCCCACAGGACCUCGGCCAGCACGGUCGCGGCCUCCGCCUCGUCGAUCACCGCCUCCCUCACCCUCGCCAGCACCUCCGCUUUGAACGCCCGCUUCUCCCUCUGCCUCAGCCCCUCCCCCACCUCUACGCUCACUGCGAAUCGCGCGACGCAGCUCGCGAACGGCCGCGUAGACAGGUACUGCGACUCCCUGCUCUCCCCUCGCCUCGCCUUCCCAACUCCCCCCGCCUGGAUCCCGUCACCACCCCUCUCCGCCCCUCGAUCCUCGCCGUCCAUCUCGAUCAGGGCGCCCCCGAGAUCGGACAUCUGGAGCGAGACCAGCCGCUUGAGCAGGCCCUCGGCGAGCAUCGCGUCCACGGCAUCCUUCCGGCCGUAGUAGCCGAUCUCGAGGGCGCAGUCGAGGGCGAGGACGCGGACCUCGACCUCGCCGGCGGCGAGGAGCCCGACGAGCCGCGGGAUCUCCCCACGGGCGUGGAGCUCGUCCACGAGCGGGCUUCGGAUGGCCGCGAUCAGGCCGUUGAGGGCGGCGAGCGCGGCGGCGGAGGACAUGGCCACCAGGGCGCCGACGGUGGGGCCCAUCAGGAUGGGGCCGACGAAGACGUCCUUGUUGAACCGGACCAUGGCCAGUACCGCCGCCGCGGACCGCUCCCGGACUCGCUUCGAGGCCGCGGGGUCGGCGAGGGCGGACUCCACGGCGGCGAACGCCCCAGACCGGAGGAGCACCUCCUGGAGCCCCCGAUCGAAUUCCCCGGCGAGCCUCACCUCCAGCGCGGCCAGCAGCGCCACCCGCUCCUCGUCGUCGGUGGCGGAGAUCAGCCGAUCCACGCUCUCCCGGUCGAUCCAGGACUGGAUCUCGGUCCCGAUCGACCCGGCGACGCGGGAGAUCUCGUGUUUGCCGGACCUCCGGCGGAAGUGGGGGAAGAAGGAGCGGGACUUUUGGUGCUUGGAUUUUAGGGCAAGGGCAAGAUCCUUGAGGUGAGAGAGGAGGCGGGAGAGGGUGGAGAGGUGGGGGUCUCCGGAGAGGAGGUCGUCGGAGCCAGUCUGGAGCUCGAGGAGGGCCUUCAUGGAAGGGGAGGCGGCGUGUCCGCCGCCGCCGUCGGGGUUGGCUUCGAUCUCUUUGGAAGCCUUCCUGAGCGCUUCGAGGGCCUUCAAGACCUCCUUCUUCUGCCUCUCUUCCAUUAACGAACGAAGCCAAACGCUAUAGAAGGGGAGAGGGGAGAGAGCUAAGAAGAGAAAGAGGGUACUAGAACUACCGCUCUUCCUCGAUUCCGAUCCAUCGCUCGGUCUCCCAAUUCUAUAACCACUAGUCUUUAGAAGUGGCGGGCGGCGAACCAAGGACCAGGCCACACGGGCCAAACGUGCGGCACGUGGUCGGAUUAGCUCCUUAGCGAAUUCUAAGCUUUUGUACAAACUGAGCAGCGAUUGCAAUACAACGCUUACUUUGUCAUUCGUGCUCAGUGCUACAUGCGUCCACAGGACUAUUAAAGUCCACGCGUACUGCGCUUAGGUCAGCUUCAGUACGUUGGCGUCAUGGACUCGGAAUCAAUAAAUUGGGUUAAAAAAAAUUGAGGACUACACCACAAGGAAGAAGGACAAAAUAUAAAAACUCUUGGUGGUUAAAAAAAUGCAAAACUAUAAUUUAUUGGGUUUUGUUCCGGACCGUAGGAUGGGAAUCGGACGGGAUGGAUGGAGGGGAAGUGAUGGGUGGGGCCCGGCAAGAAGAGCGAAUGGCGGGCAGACUCAUGACAAGAGCUGACUGCAGGUUGGACGUAGGCGGAGGGGAGCGACAGGAAAAGGUGAACGCGGGAUCCGAGGUGCGAGGACAUCCGUCUGAUUGAGAUCGGACGGGAUGUAGUAGGUGGAGCAGGUACCGGGGGGAAGUUGAGCAAAUUACGGGGACAGUGCCGUGUGGUGUUCGGUUUUUGGGCGCGAGUAGAUUGACGUGAGGGGGUAAACGGAUUCGGGCGGAUAUUCGGAUCUGUUAAUGAGAAUUUGGAAUAUGUCCCAAGUUAUAUACCCUUAGGCAGAAAAUUUAGUUUUUUAUAUACUCCUAUCCCUAAUUAUAUAGUAUAAACCCUUUCCUAGAAUAUAGCAUGUCAUGCACACAAGAAGAACCAUGGUUUCAUGGAAGUAGAGUUUAGUGUACAUGCCAUGGAGGAAGAUAAUCCAAAGAUGUAGUAAUAUAAUGUUUUAAUCUAUUUUAAAAUUAUCUUUCAAAUAUAAUAUAACAGUGUAGUAUAUUAUCUUUACAAUAUUAUCUAGAUUUGUCAAAACCAUCGCAACACUAUUAUGGUACUGUAACGGCUAUUGCUUGAAGUAAUAGAGUAAAUUAUAUUUGUACGAGCUAGAAUACAGGUUAUACUAAAUUUCAAGACCAUAGAUUUAUUGAUUAGCUUGAGUUUGAGUUAAAACUAAAUUAUAAAUAUAGUUUGUUAUAUAUGAUAUAAAACAUACUUUUGGAACAAAUUAAAAGUAUAUUUACUUUAUAUGUCUUCUCUUGGUAUAUAUCUUUAUUAUAUUUUAUUAAACAAAAUAUGAAUGUUAGAUUUAUUUAUUUCAAUUGUUAUAUAAAUUCUUUUGUAAUUGCUAUAAUGUUUGCUUAACAAAUUAAAAACCUUUAUUCUAUAGCCUACAACUGUUUGUUAACAUUUUCAGUUUUAGCUCCCUUGUUCCAUUGAUUUGAUUAGUACAUGGUUUUCACCUUAUUAAUGAUAAUAUGGAAUAUGAGAAGAAUUUAAAUCUCUUUAUUGAUAUUAAUGACUACAUGAUGAUAACUAAAAACCAUUAUUGUAUAGCCUUCAUUUAAUUACUAUAUGACUUUAAUUAAUGUAUUGACUUAAUUAAUACACGACUUUCAACUUAUUAAUAAUAAUAUGGAAUGUGAGAAGGAUCUAAAUCCCAUCAUUAAUAUUAGCAUCCAUAUGAAAAGUGAAAAAUUCAGCACGCAGGGCCUCCAUUUUAUUACAUAUAUACAAUAAAUGCAAUAGAUAAGAAUUCAUGGCUAUAAUCUCGUGUCCGCCUAUAUAUAACUUGCCACGUACGCACUUAAAUUUCUAAGAUAAAGAUGCAGGACUAUGAGACAUCGAGACUAUUUUUUUUUCGGUUAAACACUCAUUCCCUCAUUUAGUUAUGGGAAGCCUGGCUCAUUGUUAGGUGAAAAUCCAAUGGCAAAGCCCUUUAAACAAUCCAAAGCUUAGAAAUAAUGGAACAGCCCGAGUAAAUGAAAUAUCUAAAUAUUUUCCCGUUUAAUUUCUCGUGGAGAAAAGCCUAUCUCUUCAGUUAGCCUCUCUUCUAGUUUCCUCAAGAAGUGAUAAGGUCUGUGACUGUCUCACUUUAUUGAUGAUAUAAGUGUUUUGGAGGAGCUAACGACUGGUGUUUUGCAUGGCCUUGUGUGAUCUCUAAUGUCGAGCAAGUUAUUCAGUUUCACAUCAUCAAGUCUCUCCAAGUAACAAGCAUUAGGUCCUCUUAGAAACAAAAUUAGCAGUCUUCAGGAAUGCUGGUUUAAAAUAGAGACGGCCAACAGUCUUCUGAUGCAUAAUUAAACAAUUUGGAUGAAAUGAAAUUGAAAUGAGAAAAUCAAAUAGAUGAGGGCACAACAGGGCAUAGAUGAAAACAAACAACUGAUAAAUAUGACAAGAACGAUUUCUUAUUUCAUUUUCUCAAUCUGCAGCUACAUAGUAUAUCUUUGAUAUGAAAAAGAACACGCCGUGCUCUAUAUACCUUAAAUAUCUCCGAUAUCAAAUAUCCAAUGUCAGUUGCAAUUCUUACACAUCACGAUUUUCCAAAAUAUUCUCUGUCCAAUUGUUGUAUGCUACGAUUUUCAUCCGAAAAAACAGAGAUCAAGAUGAAUUAAAAAAAUUUCUGAGAAUAACCAAGGUGAAUGAUACAACAAGCGGCUAUUACAACACAGUUUCACGGCUGUGGCUGCAAUUUGUCUUACCUUCAGAACUGAAUUAUAUAUCAAGAUGUUCUCCAAACAUGGGUUUAAGAGAAAGAAAUCAAAGGAAUUGCCAAUCCUGCAUGAUGAAAUGGAGGUAAAACUGGCUUUUAUUGAUCAUAUAUCCUGGUAAAUUGGCUGCGGUGUCCACUUGAGACUCAAAUUUAGCUUUCCAAUUUCUGACCCCUCAAUACAAAAACUAUCUGCAAACUCUUCUUCAAUUAUAACUCUCGUCAGCGUAAUAAUGCAUCUCCCAAUGAAGUCCUAAAAUGAUAGAAAAGAUGGUUAACAUGAUUUCUCAGGAACAGAAUGUUAUACCUACAUAAUGUGAAUUGGGUAACAAGAUUCAACUCUAAAUGUGCUUAGAUACAACCAAGCGGACAAAUAUCCAAACCAAGAUGUUGAGCAAGAUAACUCUUUAGUUCAUGUUAGAUGACCAAGAAAGGUGGAACCAUCUCGAACCACCUAGUUUGGAGCAUACUAAGCCAUACCGGCAGCAGAUUAAGAUGGUUUUGGCGAUGAAAUCGAGAGACCGGGAUGGCUGGGGAGCCAUGCGGAGGGGCGAAGAAUCCGCAAACAGGGAUCCUAGAGGAGGCUUCUUUUUAAUUUACAAAAUUUUAAAUGAAGUCAGCAAGAGAUUUGACGACUUCACUUAAAAUUUUCCAAAUUAAAAAGAGGUCCCCUCCAGGACUCUGUUUCAUUCCCGGUCACUAGUGGCCUUGAGCCGAACGUCUGCCACCCUCCCUUGCUCUUCCUCCCUCUCCCUCUCCCUCAUUCUCCCUCUCUGCCAUAUCGAGCUGCUCUCCACCGGCCUUGUUCCUCUCUCCCUCCCUCUCCCUCUCCCUCCCUCCCCCACCUCUCUCUUUUUACUCUCUCCCGUUCUCCCUCUCCCCUGCCCUCUCUGCUGUGUCAGCAAUAACCUAGUAUGGAACAAUGCGGACNNNNNNNNNNNNNNNNNNNNNNNNNNNNNNNNNNNNNNNNNNNNNNNNNUGUGCCUUGGUACCAACAUAGGGAACCUUGGGUUAUACUAACAAUAAUAUUAAUUGUUGUAACAUGGUAGAUCCUAACCAAGUCGCUGCAACUACUAAUGCAUCAAUAGGAUGAAAAAGACAUACCUUUUUCAGCAUGUCAUGAUCCCAAACUUCCAAAAUAAGCAAAUCAUGUAGCCCAUCUUCCACAACAAAGUGAAAAGUCUCGUGCCAGAUCGGAUUCAAGCUCUUGUUCACAACCUGCACUAGCCCAUAUUAUUUUGAAAUUCAAAAGGAUAACAAGUAGCAGGAAGUCACGUAGAUCACAGGUUUACCCUUGUUCUGUUCCUCAUUUCGGUUUUCAUCAUCUUAAGCACAACAUAUGGGUCAGACUUUCCUGUAAUAUCCAUAGCGGGCAAGUUUACUGCAGAUAUAACUGACACAGAAAGCACUCCUCUCGCCAUGCCAACUCUUUUCCUUUGUCUUGCUCUUUCAAAAUCUGCAACCUUUGUUCCAUUUGCCCCAUUAGCAAGGACCUUCUCCAAAGAAGUUAAUGAUAGCUGCUUUGCGAAAGGAUUAGGAAACUCUCUCUCCGUGCCAAAAGGACAGUAGAGAAGCUCAAGGUACACCUGAUGUGACAAGUUCAAUUAUCGGAAGACACUUUCAGACUUCUCAAGGAGAAAUACAAGUAAGCUCACAUAAAACUUGUACAAAGAAAAAUAAAAGAAAAAUUUACCAAGAUUUUCUUUAAUCUGGGCUGUUUAGAAGGGUUUUAUAACAAAAAGAUAAAUGAUUCUACUGAUGUAACCAAAUAGCUGGUCCUGAUAAAUGCAUAAUCUACUACAGAUACUCAUGGGCAUUCUCAAUACACAUACACACAUGCAUGCAUGUAUGUAUAUAGUAUUUAUACAUAUACAUAUAUGUAAGACAGCAUUAUUAUAGAAAUUGGCAGAAAAGAAAGGUUUCUAUACACACCACCCUUGCUACCUAGAUUUUGUUUUAUUCCCCUUGCAUCAAAGGCAAGGACAUUUUUGCGAAUUUCACUGAGGCAAUAAAUGGAGCCCAAAGAUUCAAUCACACAGGCUAAGUAUGACACAUUUAAUUCCCAACUAAAUUAUGAAGAUUGUCUUCUUUACUCUCAAGUGCAUGCCUAGUAAGAAAGCUACUAAGAUAGUUUCGGCAGUGUCUAAAUCUCUCUAAUUUGCUCUCGUGUAACAACCUUUGCCACGUGCACAUGUGGGGGCAUGCGCGGUGCACAUAUUCCUGCAUGUUCGUACAUGCACCUGGCUUUAUUUUUAUGUGCAUGCCUGCAUGCUUGUAGUUGCAUCUGUGUGUGCAUGCACAUAGGCAUGUGCAUAUGUGUGUAUACAUGGGCAUGUGCGCAGACCUCUUUCUUUCACCCUGUCUAUACCACAACCUUGCACAUACACGUGCGCAUGCAAGUGGGUAUGUAUAUCUAGAUAUAAAUGAUAGAGAGAUAACCACACUCAACUGAAUUUGAUGGCAAUUCCAGUAAGGAAGUAUCCAAAUGAAAACAUGAUGCGAUAAUCUACAACAAUAAACAUCUUCCAAACGAAAAAUCAUAUGUUUAGAGAUAGGGCUGUCUAAAUGUGGAUGCACCAUCCAUCAAGUUAAUGUGCUAAAACAUGUUGUAGGGCACAUAGAUUCAGAAGCUGGGCCAUCAAUAUUUAUUUAGACAUCUUACAAUAUAUACAAACCAAAAUCAACUAUUUUGGAUGCUUUAACCCACAUGUACACUAUAUUAAAUAUCAACUAAAAAGGAAUAUGCUGAAUAGAUUCCAACAAUCACAUUACAAACCAAAAUGACCUUACUUUUGCCAAGAAUUGUUAAUUCAAUUGGUCGCACCACUUCCCUAAGGGCUAGCACUUCAGUGAAGGCCUGCAGAACAGCAUGCUACCUGGAGUAGAUCAAAUGCGCUAGGAUCCAGAACAAACACCAAAAAUUAUAACAAGGAAGAGAUGCUGGAAGAGAAAUUUAAGAGGAGAAAAAAUAUUUUGUUUAAAAAAAUUGUAAGCCGAGAUUCAAACUCAACUCUCUCACAAGCAAGAAAGCCACAAGCUCUCUCUCUCUCUUUCUUUCUUACACCACAUACCAAAAGAUGCCUCAUGUUCCCUAUGAAAAGGCGCCUCAAGCUCUCCCUUUUUAGGACGCCACAUGCUUCCCCUAAAGAAAGAGCCCUCACAUAAGUUCAAUUCCCACCCAAACUCAAAAAACAAUAGGAAACCAAUGCCCACUAAAAGAUAAAAUUUUGUAUGUUGAUCCUAAGUCUCAAUUCCUAGACCAACACUAAAAUAAAGAAAAGCUAAUUAAGCAUUGGAGUUCGUGAUGACUCCAACACACCCCCUCAUUGCGAACUCCAUGCUAACAAUGCCGAGCUUACUGUGCAAAUCUUCAAACCGCUCAACCACCAAUCCUUCGUAAAGAUAUUUGUCAGCUGGUCUUUUGUAGAAAUUGGAAGCAAAUCAACUCCUUCAUCAGCAACUUUUUCUCUAAUGAAGCGAUGAUGAACGUCGAUGUACUUUAUCCUUGCAUAAAACAUUAGAUUCUUCGCUAAAUGAAUAGCAUUUUCAUUAUCACAAUAAAGAGGAACAAUAUAGUUAGCGUCCCAAUCUAAAUCACCAAGCAACCUCAUAAGUUAAGUCGACUCCUGAAUUGCUAUCGCAACAACAUGAUACUUUGUCUUUGUACAAGAUAGGCUAUCUGUUACUACACCAAGGAACAACUCCAUAUCCCAAGCUAAAAGAAUAACCAGUGGUAGAUUUACAUGUAUCCACAUUACCACCUUAGUCUGCAUCUGUAAAGCCUACAAACUUGAUUGAAGAAUUAUCAAUAUAUAAAAUACCAUAAUCAACAUCCUUAGCAAUAUACCUUAGGAUUCGUAAAACUGCAUCAAGAUGUGUCCGCCGAGGAUACUGCAUAUAUCAGUCCAACUACACAAGAAAUAUCUGGCUUUGCAAGAGUCCAAUAAAUUAAAUUGCCCAUAACAUGCACGAUCAUCAAGAAGUUUGCCUUGCUCUUUGCUCAACAUUAAAUUUGAUUCAAUUGGUGUCCGUAUAUGCUUGCAAUUAGCCAAUCCAUAUGCAUUCAAUAAAUAAGAGAUUAUUUUCUCUAACAAACAAAAUAGCCAUCCUUAAGCUUAGCAACUUCAAUGCCAAGGAACUAUCUCAAUUCACCAAGUUAUUUCAUCUCAAACCGUAUAGAUAGCUGUCCACAAACACUAUGGACCUCAUCAACAACAUUAGCGAUAACAAUCAAAUCAUCAACAUAGAGGCAAACAAUUACUAUACCCUUAGUGUGCUUCCCAAAUAUAUUAGAAUCUACAGAAGAUAGAGAAUAGCUACAAAAUAAUAAAUAUUAUGUAUUUUUUUCCAUAUGCUCUAGACACCUACUUGAUAUCAUACAAAGCUUUCCUAAGUUUGCAAACAAACAUAGGAAGAGAGGAGUCAACAAAAUCAGGAGGUUGCAUCAGUCAACAAAAUCGGGAGGUUGCAUCAUAUAAAUAUCCUUAUCAAGAUCACCAUAUAAGAAGGCAUUCUUGACAUCCAUUUGCUACAAAGACCAACCCUUGCUAGCUGCUAAAGAAAUAAGCACUUUGACUGUAGUUGAUUUUGCUAUUAGAUUGUAGGCCUUAUCAAAAGUCAACUCCAUACUUUCGUGAAAAUUUUCUUGCUACAAGCCUAGCUUUAUAGCGUUCAAUAGAGCCAUCACUCUUCCUUUUACCUUAUAAACCUACUUACAAGAAAUAGGAGAGAUACCACUAAGCAAAGAAACUAAAUCCUAUGUCUCAUUCUUCUUAAGAGCUGCAAUUUCUUUUUUCAUGGCAUCCUCCCAAACACCAAUGCCCUUGGCCUCAUCAUAUGAAGUGAGCUUUAGCUAAUCAACAACAAUAGAAGAAUAAUCCCAAUGUUCAUACUUAUCAACUAGUUUCUUCUUUAUGUUGCUUCUCUGCAAUGGUGAUAGAUCCUCAGGAGCUUUAGGUUCAUCUUCAAGUAACUUUAUGUUUUCUUUAAGUAAGCAUUAUGCACACACACACAUGCAUAUAUACAGUAAAUGUUUUGAUCAAUUAUGAAGGAAUCUAGGUCAACUAAGGUUACAACAUCUGCUUGCUCCUAAGAUAGCUGAAAGGAACUCAUUUUUUGACCUAUAUAAAUGUCCUAGGGAGGACAUUUAUCGCUUAUGAGUGCAACUACAUCUUGAUCCACCAUGCGUCCAUUCAUCCAUCUAUAUGUUAAUCCUUCACAGAAGAGUGUAUCUGAAGACCCAUAAUUGAUAUCAACCACACAAGCAUACUUAGAGAAAUUAAGAAGAGAUCUAAACAUGAUGUUAAAAGAUAUAAUCUUAUAAAGUAUCACCUAUAAUUGGUUUUGGUUAGUUUUUUCCAAAGUUGGCCAAAAUCACUAAAGUUAACAAAAUUGGCCAAAACUUGCAACCAAGGGUGAGUUUGGCUUAGUGUCAACUAAAUGGAUCUUCAGCUGAAAUUUAUAACGUUGAUUGGAAAUACCUUUGCUCUUUAAAGCUGAAUGCGGUGCAAGUAAAAAGAAUGGUUCUUGUUGAAGGAUAGUCCCAUAUAAGUUGUGGAAGGGAGAUUGAUGGUCCUUAAAUACUCUUGGGCCUCUUCCUAUUAGCCCGAUCUUUUGAGUCGGUAUCCUAAAACAGUAUUAGAGUUUGAUCCAUUCCCUUGUCGUUACCGAUAUGGCUCCAUGAUCCCCCUUUUCCAUCCCGCAUGUUGUCCUUAUGAAGGUUUCUUGUGGGUUGUUCACAUGAGAAGGGGUAUUGAAGGAUAGUCCCACAUUGGUUGUGCAAGGAAUGCCGAUAGUCCUUAAAUACUCUUGGAUCCUUCCUUAUUGUUGUGCAAGGGUUAUUAACGGUCCUUAAAUACUCUUGGGCCCUUCUUCCUAUUAAAUUGAGUUUUUGGAUGUAGUCCUACGACAACAUCAAAGUCCAAUUUGUUCCCUCAUUAUUGGCCAGUAUGGCUCUGCCCUUCCCCUUUUCCAUUCUAUGUUGCCCUUGUGAAGUUUCCAUCCUACGGGUUCUCCACGUGAGAGGAAUAUUGAAAGAUAGUCACACAUCAACUCUGCAAGGGAUGCUAAUGAUCCUUUAACACUCUUGGACCCUUAUUAGCUCCAAUUUUUGGCUUGAAUUUUAAGAAGCUAAUAAGUGGAAGGGCUCAAGAGUAUUUAAGGAUCAUCAACAUCCCUUGUAUAACUGAUGUAAGACUAUCCUGCAGGUUCUCCACAUGAAAGGGCGUAUUAAAAAAUAGUCCCACAUCGAUUGUGCAAGGGGUGUCGACAGUCCUUAAAUACUCUUGGGCCUUUUCUCCCAUUAGCUUGGGCUUACAAGUAGGAUUCCUAAGAUUGUACUAGAGCUUGGUUUGCUUCCUUGUUGUUGCCAAUACAACUCCAUGCUCACCCUUUUCUAUUCCACAUGUUGCCCUUGAGAAGGUUUCAUCUUGUAGGUACUCUCCUCUUAGCUUGGGCUUUCAAGUAGGAUUCCUAAGAUUGUACUAGAGCUUGGUCUACUCCCUUGUUGUUUCCAAUACAGCUCCAUGCUUCCCCUUUCCAUUCCACGUGUUGCCCUUGAGAAGGUUUCAUCUUGUAGGUUCUCUACAUUAGACAAGGUGCUGAAGGAUAGUCCUUUAAUAGCUAGUCCCUCGGGCUAAUAGACCGACCUGAGAGGCUAGGGCCCGUGGAGUGGAGGGAGCACAUGUGUUGCACGUGUGAGCGAAGAGAGGAAGACUCUGGUUAGGGGUCUUCUUCUUCUCCAAUCUUGCCGAACUCUAAGAGUCCUAGGGCGAGCAAACCUUAUCAAAACCCUAGGGAUUUUAUCUAUUUAAAGUCCUCCUCCUCCUUUGAACUCCAUCACCGAUAAUUCAAGGAAUAGCCGCCGAUCUCAAGUUUUUUUCUCCAAAUCUUUUUCUUGGAUCUUUGCUAGAGAAGUCGCCAGACUACCUCGCCGGACUGAGGCAAUCCUCUUUCUCCUUGUUUUGGUUUCUAGCCAUUGCCACCUUGAUCUGAGCCAGCGAAUCGUCGGGAUUCCAUCCGAAAUAGGGGUGCCCUAUUUCGGUCAUCUUCUUACUUGUUCACUGCCACCGGCCGCCGGAUGGGGCCAAACUUCGCCGCUUUCUGGGAUCUCCAAAGUUGGGUAGUCAUUGGUCAGAAAGAUAGCCAUGAUAUAGGCCGAGUUGUUGGUUCCUUCUUGAUCUUCCUCUCAUUUUUUCUAUGCCGACCAACCACCAUUGCUGGUGAUGCUUUGGCGGAGGGUCUGCCCUUGGCCACCGCAACCGGAGCAUGGCCACCUUGGUCGCACUACCCCUAAUCCGAGAAGAAAGGGAGAGAUGGGCUCUCCCCUACUUUGGAAAAGAAGAGAGCCCUCUCUCUUCUUUCUCUCGCCUCUUUUCUCUUUCUCUCUCUCUUUCCUCUCUCUUUCUUUGUUUUUUCUUCCUCUCUUUCUCUCUCUUUGCAUGGAUCUAUGGACCCUAGAGGAGGGUCAUGGCCUCCUCAAUGGACCUUUAGUUGACUCUUAGAAAAGAGAGUCUUGAACCCCACUUGUGGCCAUGCAGCGCAUCAGCUUUACCCCGACCAUCGCCGAGCACCAUUGGAUUCUAUCAUCAUGAAUCUCUAUUAUGUUACGUAUACUAUAGUCUGAUUCUUGUUUCAUGAGUUGACUAGUUGGACUGAUCCGGAUCGUCGGACGCUGCUACCUAGUCAACGCAUGUCCUUCCUUCACCCUAAUUUUUGUUGGCUACCAAUGAACCCAUAAUUGAUGACUCCUGAUCUAUUAUCUUUUUUGAUUGGAUAUAUAUUUCUUGAUCAGAUGAAUUGGGUUACACUAUGCUGACUGAUUCGAAUAAUUGGGUGUUGUCAUCUAGCCGGCCUGUUACUUCAUCCUAUACGAAUCUGUUUUCAUAGUCAGCUCUGGUUUUGUAUGGGGGUGUAGUCAUCCGAACAUAAAGAAGCCCAAUGAGAUUUUAUACCCUAGUUUCUAAAUCGAGGUAAGGCCCUAAUCCUUUAUUUAUUUUAUUUUUUAAUCAAAGAAGGAUAGAGAAAAUAUAGGUAAUUCAAAUAUUGGAACUAAAAUUAUGAAAUUAGUGAGAAAUUAAUUUAUUAAUAUUGUUGGUCGUUGAUUGAGGAUAUGUUGGUUUUAUAUUGACAUUAAAUUAACUAGACAUGUUAGGUGAGGAUUAGUAGAGUUGUAGCUGAGUUGGUUACGGUAGAGGUAAGAAUCUCUGCAUCUGAUUACCAAUAUAUAUAUAUAUAUAUAUAUAUAUAUAUAUAUANNNNNNNNNNNNNNNNNNNNUAUAUAUAUAUAUAUAUAUAUAUAUAUAUAUAUAUAUAUUUAUUGACUUAUAUCACUGGUUUUGCAUCAUGAGGUUUGUGUUUAUGGAUUUGGUUCGCAUGAGAAGAUAUGCUUUAUAUAGUUUUCGGUGUGCACAUACUUAUAUGAUUAUUAUAUGCACCAUAUAUUGAAAACAUGACUAUAUAAACAAUGAUCAUAAAUACCUUGAAUUUGUGAGAAAUACGCUAUGUAAUUGGAAUUUGAUUUGACAAGGAUAACAUAUAAAUCAGAUGGAUAAGAGGUGGGACAACCUCCACGAGCUUACGCAUGGGACAACCUCCAUGGGCUUACGCAUGAGACAUCCUCCAUGAGCUUAUGUGUGGGAUAGCCUCCACAGGCUUAUGCAUAGGAUUAGCAAUCUUGAAUUGGGUCAUGAUCUUGAUUAGUGCAAAGCCGGAAAGAUAAUUGUUAUGAAACUUGAAAUUAAGAUAACGAGAAAUGGAUGAUAAGACACAUGAAACCAAUGCCAAAUGAAAGUUUACUUCUUGGUAUUUGUGAUAUAUCUCUUUUGAUAAGCCAAUAUUUGAUUAUUGCAUAUGCAAAGAUCUGUCGAUUUAAUUGAGUUAUAAUAGAUGUUUGAAAACAGGGUUCAUAAUAUUUGUUUUCAUUUUAAUAUUGCUUAUUGCUAUUUUCAAACUAUAUUAUUAUAUUUGUGUGAAUGUGCAGAGAUUCUUAUUGGGUUGUAAAACUCACAACCUCCUUUUUCUUUUCUUUUCAGAGUUGCAACUUGCUCAGUACUUAGCUAUGGUUGAGAUCACAAGUGAAG